RNAcentral lists this ribosomal RNA (254 nucleotides) under uncultured bacterium. RNAcentral's name for it is "partial 16S ribosomal RNA". It matches the Rfam family "Bacterial small subunit ribosomal RNA", at positions 524 to 777 of the family's 1533-position model. The record is from RNAcentral.
UACGAAGGGGGGCUAGCGUUGCUCGGAAUUACUGGGCGUAAAGCGCACGUAGGCGGCUUCUUAAGUCGGUGGUGAAAUCCUGGAGCUCAACUCCAGAACUGCCUCGAUACUGGGAGCUCGAGUCCGGGAGAGGUGAGUGGAACUGCGAGUGUAGAGGUGAAAUUCGUAGAUAUUCGCAAGAACACCAGUGGCGAAGGCGGCUCACUGGCCCGGUACUGACGCUGACGGUGCGAAAGCGUGGGGAGCAAACAGGG